UACGUAGGGGGCGAGCGUUAUCCAGAUUUACUGGGCGUAAAGCGCGUGUAGGCGGCUGGUUAGGUCUGAUGUGAAAUCCUCGGGCUCAACCCGAGAACUGCAUUGCAAACCGGCCUGGCUAGAGUGCAGGAGAGGGAAGCGGAAUUCCAGGUGUAGCGGUGAAAUGCGUAGAUAUCUGGAGGAAUACCGAUGGCGAAGGCGGCAUCCUGGACCGGCAUUGACGCUGAGAGGCGAAAGCUAGGGGAGCAAACGGG
Molecule: ribosomal RNA, 254 nt
Filed under: uncultured bacterium
Lineage: Bacteria
Description: partial 16S ribosomal RNA
Rfam family: Bacterial small subunit ribosomal RNA
Source: RNAcentral